Molecule: ribosomal RNA, 3291 nt
Filed under: Triticum aestivum (bread wheat)
Lineage: Eukaryota; Viridiplantae; Streptophyta; Magnoliopsida; Poales; Poaceae
Description: partial small subunit ribosomal RNA
Source: RNAcentral
AUGACGGAAUUUGCCAAUUCCCCAUUCUUCACAAGGCAAGGAUUGGAACCCCCUGAAGCAGCAUCUUAUUGGCAUCUCGAAGCUUCUCGGACCAAGUUGUGGUAUCUGCAAACGCCAACUAAGGACAGAAUGGAAGCAGAAUGGUUCUCGGGUAUCAAGGCUGUCACCUCAACCGCCACGACAGUGGUAUCUGGUUUAAAUGAUUGGAUUGCUUUUCUUCAAUGGUUCCAGCCAGACAAAACUUUGGAGAAUGGACAGCUGCAGGAGGAGCUCUGGAAACUCGAGACAACAAUGCCAAUGAUGCAGGAAAUGACCGAUAAAGCAGAGUGGUCAAGUCAUAAGGACCCAGUAGCAAAACUUUUAGAAGAACUCAAGAGUGUCUUUUAUGAUAGUGAAGAUACUCUUGAUGAUCUGAACUAUUACGUGCUGAAAUCAAAGAAGAGAAAGGUGCACUGCCAACAGAUUUCACUAAGAGCACAGUCUGCUGUGGCUUUGGUAAAGCCAGAAACAAGUUCUCUUCCAAAUGAACCUAAGAUCUUUGGCCGCCAAAAGGAAUUGAUGGAAAUUAUUCAAUUGCUUGGCGUGCCAGUAAGCAUCCAUAGUGGUGGGAAAAGAAAAAACAGUAAAAGUGCAACUGAUGCACUCAGCACCCAGGAAGCUUUCAUUGAUGAUGCAAGAAAUGAAGGUGUGGGUGUACUGGCUUUAACUGGCAUUGGUGGUGUAGGUAAAACAACUUUGACACAACAAAUCUACCAUCAUCCUCUGGUAGAAGCUCAUUUCAACCAACAGCUUUGGAUAUGUGUGUCCGAUGACUUUGACGUUAAGAGAUUGACAAAAGAGCUCGUACAGUCCUCAGGGGAGAAAGCAUUGUCAGAUAACCUGAAUUCUCUCCAAUCAAUACUGGCUACUGCUGUCAAGUCUAAGCGGUUUCUGCUCGUGUUAGAUGAUAUAUGGGACGAUGUUCUGACUGAAAAUGGACAGGAAUGGGAGAACUUCUGUGCUCCUCUAACACGUGGGCUUCCAGGAAGCAUUAUCCUAGUGACUACCAGAUCAUGUGCAUUCAAUUGCAAGGGCUGCAAAAAUGAUGCAGAUUUAGAAACCAUUGCAAGGAAGAUUGUUCCCAAACUGAAAGGGUCUCCUCUAGCUGCCAAAACUCUUGGCCGGUUGCUAAGGGUGAAUCAUGACAUUGAACAUUGGAGAAAUGUCUUAGAUAGUGAGCUUUGGGAAUUAAAGCAAGAAAAGGAGGAGAUCUUGCCGGCUCUUAGAUUGAGCUACAUUUAUCUGCCUUUCCGUUUGAAGAGGUGUUUCUCACUGUGUGCAAUGUACCCAAAAGACCAUGUCUUUCAGAUGGAAGUUGCUGUUCACAUAUGGUGUGCCCAAGGUUUCGUGGAACCUCAAGGUCAAAUUCCUCUUUCAGAUAUUGCGCGUUCCUAUUUUCAAGAACUUAUAGACCGCUCACUCUUUCAAGAAGCUGAGGGGGCACCUGAUGCAUACGUCAUUCAUGAUUUGAUCCAUGAUAUGCUCCAGUUAGUCUCAGCAAAUGAAAGUUUCGUCGUAAGAAAUGAAUAUGACCUUCUAAAUGUUCCUCAAAAUGUCCGGCAUUUGUCACUGUUCACAGAGGAGAAUUUUGAUUCCAAAAGAUUUAUGAUUCUAUCUCAGCACAAGAAGCUGCGGACAAUUUUUAUCAAGGAAUCAUUGAACCAGACUGCUCUUAUUCCUGUAAUUGACUGUUGGUCCAGUGCCUUGAAAUAUCUCCGUUUUCUGUCUUGUGGCUUUAAUGCUAUAAAGGUGCUGCCUGAGACUGUUGCUCGUUUUAAGCUUCUGAGGUGCUUAAAGUUUGGAAGCUCCAGGACUUGUACUUUUCAUACAUUCCCAGAGUCAUACUGUUGCCUUUAUAAUCUGCAAACGUUCGUGGGGCUAAGCUUCAUAUUCCAGAACUUACCAAGGAACUUCACUAGACUUGUCAACUUGCAGCACUUCAGAAUUAAUACUCUUACUCAUCAGAGACACUGCACACUAUAUUCUGUUCCUUCCGAGUUCUCCCAUAUCAGAUUGCUAAGGUACAUGAAUCUUAAGGGAGAACUGAAUCUGGAAGGCAUGUCCUAUCUGCAACCAAAUGAUGUACAACAGCUCGAAAUGAGCAAAAGAAAGGAUAUUCGGAAACUAAUAUUAGCUUUUGACCAGCGUAGGGGCACCUCUGAUAGUGAUAUGGAAGUUCUUGAGGCUCUUUGCCCCCAUCCAGAUGUCAUUCAGUGCCUGGAUAUCAAGUAUUUCAAAGGCGACUUAAAUCCUACUUGGUUUAAGCCAUCAAACCUGCAGAGCUUAAUGCAGCUCCACUUCAUAACAUGUGAUAUACGUACAGUAUCUUGGGGUGGUGACCAUGCUGGCACUAUGUUCUCAGCUCUCACUUUUUUGAACAUUUCUAUGUGCAGCAGACUGUCUUCGCUUGAACAACUUCUACAGGCACCUGGUCUUCCAGCAAUCAGAAUAAUUAGUAUUGACCGUUGCCCAGAGUUGGUGAACCUUCCUGUUGAAACCUUUGAAGCUUUUGAAUGUCUUGAAACACUGAGCAUCUGGAGCUGCCCAAAGAUUAAUUGGGAAAUGCUUGUUGGGUUGCCGCCUUCAUUGCAAUAUCUGAACAUGAUUGAUUUUGGUCAAUUUUCUGAUCACUUCCUGAGCUGCCUGGAAGAUCUAGCAUCGCUACUGAAACUGAAUUUAUCUUCUGAAUCUUUGACUUCAAUUCCCAUACAACAAUGGUCAUCUCUACUGCGCCUGGAUGUUUGGAACUGUAGCAAAUUAACAACAGUUGACUUCACUCCUCGUUCCUUACCAGCAGUAAAAGUAAUCACAAUUCGAAAUUGUGAAGCUUUAUUGUCUCUACCUGGCGAAACGUUUGUGGAGUUCUGUUGUCUAGAGGAAUUGAUGAUACGUGAAUGUCCAAAUAUUGAGUGGAGAGGCUUGACAUUUCCUAUAUCGCUUCGGGAGCUGUACCUCAAUGACUGUGGAGACAUCUCACCAUGGGUUCCGAACUCACUGGAGCACCUCAACCACUUAACCCAUCUGGCGUUGAUGAACCUCAAGUACAUCAAAUCUAUCUCUGCACAAAUAUGGGCACAGAGUUUGUCAAAGCUGGAAUUCUUGCAGAUCUGUGAGUGUCCUCAUCUGCAAGCGAUUGGUGGUCCCAAAGGAAUUGCAGGCAUUACUAAUGCAUUUGUUGAAUCGUGUGACAAGCUAAAGGGUAUAAAGCAACCUUUCCGGAGAGGUAGAAUGGCCCACUUCGGCCACUUUUGA